CUAUACUGCAGUCGAGCGGGUUUAGUCCUUCGGGAUAAGCUAGCGGCGGACGGGUGAGUAACACGUAGGUAACCUGCCUUUAAGACUGGGAUAACUAUCGGAAACGAUAGCUAAGACCGGAUAACUGGUUUUCUCGCAUGAGAGAAUCAUAAAACACGGAGCAAUCUGUGGCUUANAGAUGGGCCUGCGGCGCAUUAGCUAGUUGGUGAGGUAACGGCUCACCAAGGCGACGAUGCGUAGCCGACCUGAGAGGGUGAACGGCCACACUGGGACUGAGACACGGCCCAGACUCCUACGGGAGGCAGCAGUAGGGAAUCUUCCGCAAUGGACGCAAGUCUGACGGAGCAACGCCGCGUGAGUGAUGAAGGUUUUCGGAUCGUAAAGCUCUGUUGCCCUAGACGAACAGCAAGAGGAGUAACUGCCUUUUGUGUGACGGUAUAGGAGAAGAAAGCCCCGGCUAACUACGUGCCAGCAGCCGCGGUAAUACGUAGGGGGCAAGCGUUGUCCGGAAUUAUUGGGCGUAAAGCGCGCGCAGGCGGUCAUUUAAGUCUGGUGUUUAAUCCUGGGGCUCAACCCCAGUUCGCAUCGGAAACUGGAUGACUUGAGUGUAAGAGAGGAAAGUGGAAUUCCACGUGUAGCGGUGAAAUGCGUAGAGAUGUGGAGGAACACCAGUGGCGAAGGCGACUUUCUGGCUUAUAACUGACGCUGAGGCGCGAAAGCGUGGGGAGCAACAGAUA
This 737-nucleotide ribosomal RNA is filed under the name Paenibacillus sp. 2.2.5-04. Its description in RNAcentral is "bacterial SSU rRNA". It matches the Rfam family "Bacterial small subunit ribosomal RNA", at positions 49 to 777 of the family's 1533-position model. Lineage: Bacteria; Bacillati; Bacillota; Bacilli; Caryophanales; Paenibacillaceae. The record is from RNAcentral.